UACGUAGGGUGCAAGCGUUAAUCGGAAUUACUGGGCGUAAAGCGUGCGCAGGCGGUUGUGCAAGACCGAUGUGAAAUCCCCGGGCUCAACCUGGGAACUGCAUUUGUGACUGUAUAGCUAGAGUACGGCAGAGGGGGAUGGAAUUCCGCGUGUAGCAGUGAAAUGCGUAGAUAUGCGGAGGAACACCGAUGGCGAAGGCAAUCCCCUGGGCCUGUACUGACGCUCAUGCACGAAAGCGUGGGGAGCAAACAGG
RNAcentral lists this ribosomal RNA (253 nucleotides) under uncultured bacterium. RNAcentral's name for it is "partial 16S ribosomal RNA". It matches the Rfam family "Bacterial small subunit ribosomal RNA", at positions 524 to 776 of the family's 1533-position model. The record is from RNAcentral.